Cavia porcellus (domestic guinea pig) is the source of this 551-nucleotide non-coding RNA. The record is from the annotation of a RefSeq genome assembly. NCBI's taxonomy places the organism in Eukaryota, Metazoa, Chordata, Mammalia, Rodentia, Caviidae.
UGUGUUCCAAGAAGACCAAGUCUGCCAAGCGAUCGCGUCACAGGAAGGCUGUCUGUGAGGAGGGCAGCAGCCUCAGCCUUUGCCACUUCGAUGCAACCAUGACCACAUGGCUCCUCUGCUGUGUGGCUCUUUGUCUCUUAAAUGCAGGCUUCUUUGAUGACACAGUGACCCAGAGGCCAAGACAUCUGAUCAAAUGGAAAGGACAGAAAGCAAACAUGAGCUGUGUCCCUAAAAAGGGACACACUGCUGUUUACUGGUAUCAACAAAAGCAAAAUAAAGAGUUGAAGUUUUUGAUUAGGUUCCAGAAUGAAGAUCCUCUUGACGAAAUGAACAAGUUCGAGGAUCAAUUCUCAGCUCAAUGUCCCAAAGCCUCACCCUGCAGCCUAGAAAUUAAGUCCUCUGAUCGAGAAGACUCAGCCCUGUAUCUCUGUGCAAGCAGUCAGUUCACAGUGCUGAAAUGUUCGUUCCUCUGUGUGCACAAACCCCCAUGGAGCCAACCCAGGAAGCAGCUGAUGAGUUCUGUUGGAAGGAUGUAACGGAAAUGAACUGGA